This 430-nucleotide ribosomal RNA is filed under the name bacterium. RNAcentral describes it as "partial 16S ribosomal RNA". It matches the Rfam family "Bacterial small subunit ribosomal RNA", at positions 355 to 776 of the family's 1533-position model. The record is from RNAcentral.
UUGUGAAUAUUGGACCAUGGGCGGAAGCCUGAUCCAGCCAUGCCGCGUGUGUGAAGAAGGCCUUUUGGUUGUAAAGCACUUUAAGCGAGGAGGAGGCUACUUGGAUUAAUACUCUAGGAUAGUGGACGUUACUCGCAGAAUAAGCACCGGCUAACUCUGUGCCAGCAGCCGCGGUAAUACAGAGGGUGCGAGCGUUAAUCGGAUUUACUGGGCGUAAAGCGUGCGUAGGCGGCUUCUUAAGUCGGAUGUGAAAUCCCUGAGCUUAACUUAGGAAUUGCAUUCGAUACUGGGAAGCUAGAGUAUGGGAGAGGAUGGUAGAAUUCCAGGUGUAGCGGUGAAAUGCGUAGAGAUCUGGAGGAAUACCGAUGGCGAAGGCAGCCAUCUGGCCUAAUACUGACGCUGAGGUACGAAAGCAUGGGGAGCAAACAGG